RNAcentral lists this ribosomal RNA (503 nucleotides) under uncultured bacterium. Its description in RNAcentral is "partial 16S ribosomal RNA". It matches the Rfam family "Bacterial small subunit ribosomal RNA", at positions 30 to 523 of the family's 1533-position model. The record is from RNAcentral.
AUUGAACGCUGGCGGCAGGCUUAACACAUGCAAGUCGAGCGGGGGAAGGUGCUUCGGUACUAACCUUAGCGGCGGACGGGUGAGUAAUGCUUAGGAAUCUGCCUAUUAGUGGGGGACACCAUCUCGAAAGGGAUGCUAAUACCACAUACGCCCUACGGGAGAAAGCAGGGGAUCACUUGUGCCCUUGCGCUAAUAGAUGAGCCUAAGUCGGAUUAGCUAGUUGGUGGGGUAAAGGCCUACCAAGGCGACGAUCUGUAGCGGGUCUGAGAGGAUGAUCCGCCACACUGGGACUGAGACACGGCCCAGACUCCUACGGGAGGCAGCAGUGGGGAAUAUUGGACAAUGGGGGGAACCCUGAUCCAGCCAUGCCGCGUGUGUGAAGAAGGCCUUAUGGCUGUAAAGCACUUUAAGCGAGGAGGAGGCUCUUUUGGUUAAUACCCAAGAUGAGUGGACGUUACUCGCAGAAUAAGCACCGGCUAACUCUGUGCCAGCCGCCGCCGUAA